AAUGAACGUUGGCGGCGUGGAUUAGGCAUGCAAGUCGAGCGAGAACCCCGCAAGGGGGGACAGCGGCAAACGGGGUAGUAAGGCGUCGGAACGUGCCCAGAGGACGGGGAUAGCGGCGGGAAACUGCCGGUAAUACCCGAUGAUCUCGAGAGAGCAAAGGUGUGAUUCCGCCUUUGGAGCGGCCGACGUGGUAUUAGCUAGUUGGUGAGGUAAUGGCCCACCAAGGCUUUGAUGCCUAGGGGAUGUGAGAGCAUGAUCCCCACCAUUGGGACUGAGACACUGCCCAGACACCUACGGGUGGCAG
Molecule: ribosomal RNA, 304 nt
Filed under: uncultured Planctomycetota bacterium
Lineage: Bacteria; Pseudomonadati; Planctomycetota
Description: bacterial SSU rRNA
Rfam family: Bacterial small subunit ribosomal RNA
Source: RNAcentral